CGCCAGGGGCACCGCUGGGUAGCUAUGUGCGGAAGGGAUAAGCGCUGAAAGCAUCUAAGCGUGAAGCCCCCCUCAAGAUGAGAUUUCCCAUCGCGAAAGCGAGUAAGAUCCCUCGAAGAUGACGAGGUCGAUAGGUCCGAGGUGGAAGCGUGGCGACACGUGCAGCUGACGGAUACUAAUCGAUCGAGGACUUAACCUA
Molecule: ribosomal RNA, 199 nt
Filed under: Anoxybacteroides tepidamans
Lineage: Bacteria; Bacillati; Bacillota; Bacilli; Caryophanales; Anoxybacillaceae
Description: partial 23S ribosomal RNA
Rfam family: Bacterial large subunit ribosomal RNA
Source: RNAcentral